AGUCGACGAUUAAGCACCUUCGGGUGUGUAUAGAGUGGCGAACGGGUGAGUAACACGUGACCAACCUGCCUCUUACAUUGGGACAACCAAAAGAAAUUCUGGCUAAUACCAAAUACUCCGCACAUAUCACAUGAUGUAUGCGGGAAAGCUUUUGCGGUAAGAGAUGGGGUCGCGGCCCAUUAGGUAGACGGCGGGGUAGAAGCCCACCGUGCCGAUGAUGGGUAGCCGGGUUGAGAGACCGACCGGCCACAUUGGGACUGAGAUACGGCCCAGACUCCUACGGGAGGCAGCAGUGGGGAAUAUUGCGCAAUGGGGGAAACCCUGACGCAGCAACGCCGCGUGCGGGAUGAAGGCCUUCGGGUUGUAAACCGCUUUCAGCAGGGAAGACAUCGACGGUACCUGCAAAAGAAGCCCCGGCUAACUACGUGCCAGCAGCCGCGGUAAUACGUAGGGGGCGAGCGUUAUCCGGAUUCAUUGGGCGUAAAGCGCGCGCAGGCGGUUGCUCAAGCGGAACCUCUAAUCUCGGGGCUUAACCUCGAGCCGGGUUCCGAACUGGACGACUCGAGUGCGGUAGAGGCAGAUGGAAUUCCCGGUGUAGCGGUGGAAUGCGCAGAUAUCGGGAAGAACACCAACGGCGAAGGCAGUCUGCUGGGUCGUCACUGACGCUGAGGCGCGAAAGCUGGGGGAGCGAACAGGAUUAGAUACCCUGGUAGUCCCAGCCGUAAACGAUGAGCGCUGGGUGAGGGAGAUUACAUCUUCCGUGCCCAAGCUAACGCAUUAAGCGCUCCGCCU
Molecule: ribosomal RNA, 792 nt
Filed under: uncultured bacterium
Lineage: Bacteria
Description: bacterial SSU rRNA
Rfam family: Bacterial small subunit ribosomal RNA
Source: RNAcentral